This 72-nucleotide transfer RNA is filed under the name Ovis aries (sheep). It matches the Rfam family "tRNA". Rfam says of the family: Transfer RNA (tRNA) molecules are approximately 80 nucleotides in length. Their secondary structure includes four short double-helical elements and three loops (D, anti-codon, and T loops). Further hydrogen bonds mediate the characteristic L-shaped molecular structure. tRNAs have two regions of fundamental functional importance: the anti-codon, which is responsible for specific mRNA codon recognition, and the 3' end, to which the tRNAs corresponding amino acid is attached (by aminoacyl-tRNA synthetases). tRNAs cope with the degeneracy of the genetic code in two manners: having more than one tRNA (with a specific anti-codon) for a particular amino acid; and 'wobble' base-pairing, i.e. permitting non-standard base-pairing at the 3rd anti-codon position. The record is from Rfam by way of RNAcentral. Lineage: Eukaryota; Metazoa; Chordata; Mammalia; Artiodactyla; Bovidae.
UCCCUGGUAGCUCAGACGGUAAAGUGUCUGCCUGCAAUGCGGGAGACCCAGGUUCGAUCCCUGGGUCGGGAA